CUCACCCGCCAGAAUCAGGCAUCCUCGCAAUCAACUGUGCCCAAGUGGAUCCCAUGGGCACCGAGAAGCCCAGCGGGCUGAUUAGCAGAUGAUUUGUUCCUCUGUGGCACCUGAAGCACCUCUCAGCCCCAUUCCACAAAUCAGAGCCUGGCUGAGGAGACUCCCAGCCAGCACCUGAAGCCACUCCUCCACAUUUCCACUGGGAAGUCUGCAGCCUAGUGACCACGGGAUAGACCAGAAAUAACUCUUCAGCCUAGAAUGGGUUUCCCCUCUGCAGACAGCACAAAGCCAAGGCACGAUGAAGUCUCCGAUGCCUCAGAACUUCUCUGUGUGAUUCAGACCAGGUGUCAAGAGGGCAGCUGAAGCAGCAUAUACAACCAGAACCAACAUAGACAGACCAUAACUUCAAGAGACCAGAGCUUCUGAGACCAAAAUGGAGGAAAGGAAAGAGCUCGUAUUCCACAAGAAACUCUCUGGAACCCCAAAGGUUCUGGGAGAGAAGAGCAGCCGCUGUCUGGGCGCCUGGGCAUAGAGGUGGGCCCUGGGCAGGUGACUACAGAGGCUUACAUCAAACCUGGGGUACAUGUGCUCCAUCUUGAAGCUUCUCCCAAAGAGGUAAGACUGAAACAGUGUGGCAGCAUGCCUGAGAUGGGGAAGAGGGGUGGACCACGAGCAAGAGGCAGCCAGUUAUGGGAAGAUGGUGCUGGGGAGCCAGGAAGCAGAGUUCUAGUUCCCACACUGCCAAUGACUGGUUGGCUUGCUCCCUCUUUGAAAUGAGGAGAUCAGAUGUGUAGACUUCAGUUCUUCUUCCCAGCAGUAGUGGAAUGCAGUGAG
Molecule: non-coding RNA, 834 nt
Organism: Myodes glareolus (Bank vole)
Lineage: Eukaryota; Metazoa; Chordata; Mammalia; Rodentia; Cricetidae
Source: RefSeq, a predicted model, not a curated record